This 1733-nucleotide long non-coding RNA is filed under the name Salmo salar (Atlantic salmon). Its description in RNAcentral is "lncRNA (ENSSSAG00000115355.1)". The record is from RNAcentral. Lineage: Eukaryota; Metazoa; Chordata; Actinopteri; Salmoniformes; Salmonidae.
GUGAAAGGGAUUUUGUUGAUUUUCGCCAGUGUAAAGGCUGCAAUCCACUCCCAGUUAAGCGGGGUCCGUUCAGGCCUCCGUCAGCUCCACAAUGCCUUGGGGGAUGUGAUGGACAUCCAGAACUCCCUGCCCGGUAGAAGUCAGCAAUGACUGGAGGCAAAACAUUAACACCAUUGAGAACCUGAAGUACGUAAAAUAUGCUGGGACGCAACAUCAGCGGAGGCUCCUCAGAAGAGGAAGACAAUACUGCUUGGUGACCUACAGAUUAUUUUUGGAGAUGGUUAUCGGUGCGGAGAAGCUAGGCACAAGACACUGAAUUCCCUGAAAACAUUUCCAGCGCCUACUUCAGUCCAAGUCAAGCACUGGUCUAACUGAAUGUGGAUGUUGUGUUGGCUGAAUGUUCCAGGCACGCUCCAGAAUGUUCUUCUGCUGGUGAACCUUGUCUUGUGUUGGGCAAUGGCAGCUGGUCUGGCAGAAGUUCAUGAGCUCCAUGACCUUGGACUCAUAGACUUUGGCUCUUGCCAGCCCCAUGCAGUCAACCCCAUGCAGUCUUUUCCUCUUCCGAGUCAGAUGAUGUUGAGCUUGAGUUUUUUCCCGGAUGAAAGAUUUCAUCCAAUGGGUCUACAGAAUCUGUACUUCUAAAGCAGAAGCACCAGGAUUAGUCUGUAGGACAUACACUAGUCAGUGAUUAGGCAAUAUUUUACUACUUUGUCCCCAUGAAUACACACUCCGACAAGCUACUAUCUCCACCCUUCACCCUUGUGUCAAUAGAUCAUGCAUACUAACCUUCACACACAGUACCCACUUCCAACAGACACCAGUCACCCACACCAUCCCCUCUUCACGAAGAACUAUGCUUUUCUCCGAUUUACACUUCAAGCUUUGCAUAAACAAUCAAUUAAUGCUGCAAUAUGUAACUUUUUGGGUGACUCACCAAAUUCACAUAAUUUGUUUUAACUAGGCAAGUCAGUUAAGAACAAAAUCAAAUUUGUAAUGAUGGCCAACAGUGGGUUAACUGCCUUGUUCAGGGGCAGAACGACAGAUUUCUAUCUUGUCAGCUUGGGGAUUCGAUCCAGCAACCUAUCAAUUACUGGCCCAAUUCUCUAACCACUAGGCUACCUGCCACCCCGAAAAUGUGAGUUAUAGAUCUGUCAUUCUCAUUGAAAGCAAGUCUAACAAGCGGUAGAUAAACUCUGCAGAAAAAGAAACGUCCUCUCACUGUCAACUGCGUUUAUUUUCAGCAAACUUAACAUGUGUAAAUAUUUGUAAGGACAUAACAAGAUUCAACAACUGAGACGUAAACUGAACAAGUUCCACAGACAUGUGACUAACAGAAAUUGAAUAAUGCAUUUCCACCAGAGCUGUUGCCAGAGAAUUUAAUGUUCAUUUCUCUACCAUAAGUCACCUCCAACGUCGUUUUAGACAAUUUGUCAGUAUGUCCAACUGGCCUCACAACCGCAGACCACGUAUAACCAAGGCAGCCCAGGACUUCCACAUCCGGCUUCUUCACCUGUGGGAUCAUCUGACCAGCCACCCAGACAGCUGAUGAGUCUGAAGAGUAUUUCUGUCUGUAAUAAAGCGCAUUUGUGGGGAAAAAUGUAUUCUGUUUGCCUGGGCAAUGUCCCCCUUUGAAAUCUCAAGAUUAUGGCUUAAUGAAUUUAUUUCAAUUGACUGAUUUCGUUAUAUAAACUGUAACUCGUUGAAAUUGUUGCGUUAGCUUGCAUUAGCUUGCA